ACGCUGGCGGCUGCCUAAUACAUGCAAGUAGAACGCUGAAGAGAGGAGCUUGCUCUUCUUGGAUGAGUUGCGAACGGGUGAGUAACGCGUAGGUAACCUGCCUUGUAGCGGGGGAUAACUAUUGGAAACGAUAGCUAAUACCGCAUAACAAUGGAUGACACAUGUCAUUUAUUUGAAAGGGGCAAUUGUUCCACUACAAGACGGACCUGCGUUGUAUUAGCUAGUAGGUGAGGUAAUGGCUCACCUAGGCGACGAUACAUAGCCGACCUGAGAGGGUGAUCGGCCACACUGGGACUGAGACACGGCCCAGACUCCUACGGGAGGCAGGAGUAGGGAAUUCUUCGGGCAUGGGGGGCCACCCUGGACGAACCACGCCGCGUGAGUUAAGAAAGGUUUCGGAUCGUAAAGCUCUGUUGUUAGUCCAGAACCGGUGUUAAAAUGGAAAGUUCACCCCGUUACCGUAGCCUAACCGAAAGGGAAGGCUAACUAACGUUGCAGCAGGCGCGGUAAUAACGUAAGUCCCGAACUUGGCCCGAUAUAAUGGGCGUAAAGCGAACGCACGCGCUGAUAAGUCUGAAGUUAAAGGCUGUGGCUCAACCAUAGUUCGCUUUGGAAACUGUCAAACUUGAGUGCAGAAGGGGAGAGUGGAAUUCCAUGUGUAGCGGUGAAAUGCGUAGAUAUAUGGAGGAACACCGGUGGCGAAAGCGGCUCUCUGGUCUGUAACUGACGCUGAGGCUCGAAAGCGUGGGGAGCGAACAGGAUUAGAUACCCUGGUAGUCCACGCCGUAAACGAUGAGUGCUAGGUGUUGGAUCCUUUCCGGGAUUCAGUGCCGCAGCUAACGCAUUAAGCACUCCGCCUGGGAGUACGA
RNAcentral lists this ribosomal RNA (869 nucleotides) under uncultured Streptococcus sp. RNAcentral describes it as "bacterial SSU rRNA". It matches the Rfam family "Bacterial small subunit ribosomal RNA", at positions 33 to 885 of the family's 1533-position model. Lineage: Bacteria; Bacillati; Bacillota; Bacilli; Lactobacillales; Streptococcaceae. The record is from RNAcentral.